AAUUAAAUCACCUCAGCGCUGGAUUUCAAAUCAUUCACCCCCCAAAAUCCUAAUUCUCUCUUGUUCUUUUAUCCUUAUAUUCUUCUUUCCUCUUACUAUUUGUUUUUAUGUUCAAUUCUUCUUUGCUUGAGGACAAGCAAACCUUUAAGUUUGAUGUUGACGCUUCGCUUAAGGGUUUUCUAUUUAUUCCUAUGGCACCAAAAGGGAGGCGAAUCAUCUUCGCUGAGGAGCACAACCUGA
This 240-nucleotide long non-coding RNA is filed under the name Arachis ipaensis. RNAcentral's name for it is "long non-coding RNA (AIPA_LNC000090)". Lineage: Eukaryota; Viridiplantae; Streptophyta; Magnoliopsida; Fabales; Fabaceae. The record is from RNAcentral.